RNAcentral lists this ribosomal RNA (304 nucleotides) under uncultured bacterium. Its description in RNAcentral is "bacterial SSU rRNA". It matches the Rfam family "Bacterial small subunit ribosomal RNA", at positions 28 to 334 of the family's 1533-position model. The record is from RNAcentral.
GAUGAACGCUGGCGGCGUGCCUAAUACAUGCAAGUCGAACGCGAGCACUUGUGCUCGAGUGGCGAACGGGUGAGUAAUACAUAAGUAACCUGCCCUAGACAGGGGGAUAACUAUUGGAAACGAUAGCUAAGACCGCAUAGGUACGGACACUGCAUGGUGACCGUAUUAAAGUAGCCUCAAAGCACUGGUAGAGGAUGGACUUAUGGCGCAUUAGCUGGUUGGCGGGGUAACGGCCCACCAAGGCGACGAUGCAUAGCCGAGUUGAGAGACUGAUCGGCCACAUUGGGACUGAGACACGGCCCAG